UAGGUGAUCUGCCCACCUCAGCCUUCCAAAGUCCUGUGAUUAACAGGUAUGAGCCACCAUGCCCAGCUGGCCCAGAUGUAGCUCUUAAGAAUAGAUGCACAGAAAAUCCUCGGGGUCAUUUUGCCCAGUUGCUUUUAGCUGAAAUAUAAAAAUAUGGUUACAUUUUGCUAUUAUGUGUUAAAUUAAAAGACCAAAAAUUCACUUAUAUUUUUCUUUUAUAAAAUGUAUUUGAAACUCUGGAAUGUGGUUCUAGGCAGUCUUGCUAAGUGGGUUUUCUUUUCUUUCUUUUUUUUUUUUGAGACGGAGUUUUGCUCUGUUGUCCAGGCUCCAGUGCAGUGGCACAAUCUCGGCUCACUGCAACCUCCGCCUCCUGGGUUCAAGCAAUACUCCUGCCCUAGCCUCCUGAGUAGCUGGCACUACAGGCGCACGCCACCAUGCUGGCUAAUUUUUGUAUUUAUUUAUUUUUUUUAGUAGAGACAGGGUUUCACCAUGUUGGCCAGGCUGGUUUCGAACUCCUGACCUUGUGAUCUGCCCGCCUCUGCCUCCCAAAGUGCUGGGAUUACAGGCAUGAGGUACCGUGCCUGGCCUGCUAAGUGGCUUUUCAUUCUAUCAGAGGAAAAGGAAGCAAUGCAGAUCACUGUGUGGCUUCUGUAGUUUUCUGGGAUAUCCAGCAGGGUGGUAGCUAGUUCUUGGCUUUUCCUGACUCUUCCCUUCACUUAGUCCUUUUAGAGGAAAGAAGCUUGAUUUCUUUCUCUCACUCCAAAAGGCUGCAGGAAGUGUAUCCCUUUCUGCCUUAAGACAAACUGUAAAGACGGCCUGAGGUAAGGACCUGAUUAUUACUUCUGCUUAACAGUCUUAGAAAAGAGUGCAUUAAUGAAAAAGAAAAGAAGGCUUUAAAAGCAGAGUUGAUGAUUUUGCACAGUACUCUUAAAUCUGCAUGUAGCCAAAAGUGAGUGAUUAGGCAGAGUUGAAAUGAAGCAAUGAUCCCACGACAACUGUUCAUUCAGAACAGCUGUUGUUUCUAAGUGUGUACAUAAUCUCACCUGUCAGCUUAGCAAACAGGUUAAAUUCAGAUUCAUCAUUUGUUCCUUUAGUAUUCUGUACAUUAAAUUUGAAGCCUCCAUUUUUAAUAAGUGAAAUGAUUGUGGCAAUGUUGGUUUUUUAAAAGGGAUAUCUUUGUCUAAACUUGUAUGCUUAAAAAAAACAUUUUAAUGCUCACUAUAAAAUUUCAUGACAAUGGGUGAGAAACUAAUAAAAUGGUUUCAAUGAAUAACUUUAACUCCCCACAAACUAACAGGCAUCAACGAAAGGAGAGAAGGAAAAUUUAGAAUUACAUGAUUUGAAGAAACAGUGUGCACUUUGUCCUCAUGGUGUUUGUAAAUUAAGAUUCAUUUUAUAUAAUGGUAAUGUCAAGGCAAUCGCAAUCUCAGGUAAGAUUCAGUUCUCUUGUACUGAUAAGUCUCACCAUAUUUUAUUGGAAUUAUUUGUGUGUAUGUUCUCUUUGGUCAAAAUCAAGUUCUGAAAGGGCAAGGCACAUGGUAGGUACUCAGUAAAGGUUGCUGUCUAAAUUGAACUGCAGAGAAAAACACUUCCAAAGUGAGUCUCAAGAUACUUUGGCACAAAGUUCUGAGGCCUUCAAAAGGCCAAGCAGCUUUUGGGGGUGUUGGAGAAAGAGUAGAUAAAGGUUAUGACUGGUGUACUGGGGAGUUUCUGCUUUCUGAAAGACUCUGUGUGCCCUGUCCCUACUGUAGAAAUUUUACAUUCUUUUCUAGCCAGGAGACCAUGGGCAGCCUAUCUCUUCACCACCCUUGAUUUUUUCCAUACAUCCUUUCAUUGUUUGGUUUAACUAGCAUCACUCAAAGGAGGGAUUAGAAACAGGGGUCUAGUUUUUGUUUUCCCAAGUUCUUUUUUCUUUUCUUUCCUUUUCCUUUCUUUUCUUCUCCUCUCUUUCUUCUCUCCUCUCUCUCUCUCUCUUUUCUUGAGACAGAGUAUCACUCUCUCACCCGGGCUGAAAUGGGAAUGCAAUGGCACAAUCUCAGCUCACUGCAACCUCUGCCUCCUGAUCUCAAUCAAUUCUCGUGCUUCAGCCUCCUGAGUAAUUGAGAUUACAGGUGUGUGUCACCACACCCAGCUAAUUUUUGUAUUUUUAGUAGAAACAGGGUUUCACCAUGUUGGUCAGGCUGGUCUUGAACUCUGUUCUCAAGUGAUCUGCCUGCCUUGGCCUCCCAAAGUGCUGGGUUUACAGGCGUGAGCCACUGCACCUGGGCUGUUUUCUCAAUUUAUUUUCUACUUUAUUGACAUAGCCUUGUGAAAGAAAGGUGAGAUGUUUUGAAUGUUAUGCAAAUAAAGUUUCUUGGGUCCUAAUGUUUCUUCCAAAAUCAUACAGUUUCCUAAAAUAUGUAAACUUUUAAUCUAGUAGGUGAAGGCCAGCAAUGUUGUGGUUUUGGCUGAAAGCAUGAACACUAAAAGUUCUCCCCUUUCCAUAUCUGUGCAUAUUUGUACAGGGUGCGGGGUUGGUAGGAAGAGGGGAAGGUGUGAGUAGCACAUAAGGUGGUAAGAGACAGAGCUGGAAGUGGGCAUUUGAGUUAUAAAGCAGGAAUGAAGGAGAUACAGCUGCUGAUGUGGUAACAAUGAACAUUUUUAGGUCACUAUACCUCACUAUAUUUCAACUGUUUGAUGGAAGAGAAAGUAAAAGUCCUAAAAUAUAGGGGCUGGUAUAUAAAAGGAGACUAUGUUUUUAGUGAGUCUGUGCAAAAAGUGGCAUUAACUAAGAAUCCAAAUGAAUUUGUCAACUUCUAAUGGAAUUAUUUAUAUAUUUUUCUCAAAUAUUAUCAUUUCUUAAAUUGUAUUAUAUCAUGCUAUUGACCAGUUAAUUGGAUAGUGGUGAUGUUUAGGAAGCUAGAAACUGUUUUGAUCAGAUUGGUGACUAAAAACUAUGUAUGUUCUGACUACUUUUGGAAGACAAUUCUCUGUGGGUCUCUUGUGUUUCUUCAUGUUUUACAAGCAGAGACACUGACUGUCUUUGUUCCAGACCAAUGGUCAGCAAGGUUUGGCCCACAGGCCAAGUCUAGCCUAUGACCAGUUUUUGUGUGGCUUGUGAAUUAAGAAAGUUUUUAUAUAUUUAAAGAGUUGUAAACCAACAACAAAAACAAUAAGAAUGUCAAGGACAAUGAGAGGAAUACUUGGAGAUUUGUUAUGGCCAGCAUAGCCUAAAAUAUUUACUAUCUGACCUUUUACAAAAGAAUUUUCCUCUGUUAUAGAUUAUCUUUUCAAGCACGUUUACAGAGUAAACAGCCUUGGAAAAUAUAUAGUUUCUCCCUCUGGAACAAAAGGGCAGGUGUUACCUGGCCCAUUUGCUUCUGCCCUGUGGGAAUUGGGCCAUAGAGAGUCAGUGUGAAAACAAUGGUAUUGUGGCUACCACUAUUGCCAUGAGCAACAAACUGUCUUUUGUCUCUGACUUAGGGGUCUCAUAUCUUCUGCCAGCAUCCACUGGGCAGGCUAACUUGUUAGACUGCAAGUAGAGUUAAAAUCUCAGACCCUUCACAAAUCUUGUUACCUACUUGAAGAGUUAAUCUGGAUUUGCAAAAGAAAGAGAAAAAGAAACCCAUAUUAGACAUUCAUGAGUUAUUCAAUUAUAACUAUAGAUUAUUUACUCCACUAGAAAUAUGAGAGGGAAAAAUAUAAAGGAUAAAAAGUGUAUUAGGAUGAUAUCUAGAUCUUUUUAAGGUUACCUUGUAUGAUAAAGUUUUCUUGAAUUGUUCACUGAAAUAGAAAAAAAAGGAAUUAGUCAUCAUUCUAAAUAUUAAGAGUAAGAUAAUCUUGAAGAAACUAAAUUAUAUAAAAAUAUGCUUUGUAUGUAGAAAGCAUAAAAUGCUAUGGUGAAGUAAAAACUAUGCCAGUUUGAAAUGCUUUUAUAAAAAGACAGAAAAGCAUAUCAUCAAUAUGUUAUUAAUUUUAAGAAAUCUAUUCCACAGAUUGUUUACACUGUUAGAGAAGCACCUUUUUUGUCUCUAUCCCUCAUGGGAACACUAAGAUCCAGGUGUUUUAACAUGUGGGUUUUACUGUUAUUCAGAUGUGCACAGCCAACAGAUCAGGAGAGGACUGCCAUUGAAAAGAUACUUUAUUACUCACAGUUCCCCAAGAAGAGGGGGCAUGCCAUGUGAUGAAGGGCCACAUGGGGAAACACCAGUAUAGGUCAGGAGGCGGUUUCCAUGGGAAGAAAAAGAGAUGAGAUGAGAUGAGAUGACCUGCCUGAAGACAGCAGCUACCCACUGCAGGUCUCCUUCCACCUGAGAGCUGAGUAGAUAUUGGGAUGACCUGCCUGCGGAAAGAAGCUACCCACUCUGGAUCUCUUCUCUGCUGAGGGUUGCAGAGAUGAGAUGAGAUGAGAUGACCUGCCUGAAGACAGCAGCUACCCACUGCGGGUCUCCUUCCACCUGAGAGCUGAGUAGACAUUGGGAUGACCUGCCUAUGGAGAGAAGCUACCCUCUGUGGGUCUCCUCUCGGCUGAGAGCUGAGCAGACAUUGGGAUGACUGUCUGUGGAGAGGAGCUACCCACUUUAUCUCCUGAGAGCUGUACUGUUGCUCAAUAAAGCACCUCUUUGCCUUGCUCAUCCUCCAA
Long non-coding RNA from Homo sapiens (human), 4621 nucleotides. RefSeq lists it as uncharacterized. The record is from RefSeq and is a predicted model, not a curated record. The transcript has 2 exons. Lineage: Eukaryota; Metazoa; Chordata; Mammalia; Primates; Hominidae.